AAAAGAAAAAGAAAAAUUCCCUCCUAUUAGAAAAAAAAAGAAAAGAGAGCAGGACCUUCCAGUCACUGCUUAAGGCACCCAGAAGAGCAGACUGGGGGAACUUUUAAGUGAAAUCUGCAGCACUUCUCUCCCUCUCUGUGGGGACCUUAGUUGGGCAAGACAGAACAGAUUCCCGAAGAGGGUGUUGGCUGUAUGCGAACUGAUUUGCAGACUCAGAGGCCUGCACUUCCCCAAGCUCAUCACAAAUAAUUCAACAAAAGAAUGCCUGAAUACUCUGCUCUAUUAAGACGCAACAUUUGACUGGAUCCAGCACAUCACCCGUUGUUUGCUGUACUGGACCCUAAGACAGGCUGCCGACAGAUAGGACACGUGCAAUUCUCUGAGAGCCACCGGUCGAUACAGUGGAUGUGAAAUUCAUGCAUGCAAGGACGAAUCCUUCUCACUUGAAGGUCCAGUGUGAUUGUUGGAUGUCGUCGUGCAGCAGUGGAGGACCUGCUGGCCUCUUCUCCUUCUUCUACUGUGAUUCUUGA
Molecule: long non-coding RNA, 530 nt
Organism: Balaenoptera musculus (blue whale)
Lineage: Eukaryota; Metazoa; Chordata; Mammalia; Artiodactyla; Balaenopteridae
Exons: 3
Source: RefSeq, a predicted model, not a curated record